AGGCCCCCGCGAGAGGACGGGAGGGAGCAGAGUAACGCUCCCCUUAUUCCUCAAAGUCUGCUACGCAAGGAGUCAGCCCCGUAACCCCUUCUAGACGGUAGCGAAAACGUAGGCCGAGGCGUACGUUACCUGCUUCUUUUGCCCCCCAUGAUGUACAUCUCUGGCUAGCUUGGAGCUAUGCCUGUGCUGGCCGGACAGAUGGCAUGCUCCCUCAGCAAGCCCAGUCAUAAGUGCCUUUCCCGUGCUGUUGGAUUCCACCAAACGACAGAGAAAAAAGUCACUGUCUUGUGAGCCACUACACACUGUGCUCUCCAGGCUUUCCGAAUGGUGUGUUUCACUGGUUUCUCUAAGACAAUUAUCUUCUUUCUCCUUACUGCAAAACUUACACUGAUUUGAGCUGUAUUAAAAAGUAAUCAUUUAUAUAAGUUCUCUAAUCAAACACAGUUAAUGGAGUUUUGUUUCUAGAAAGGAACACAGAUUGCAUCAGGGAAAUCCUUCCUAUAUGACAUGCUACUAAUAGUAUUAAUAACGCUACAUUGUGCUGAAUCAGCAUGCUCCAAGUCUAAUGAUUACUCAGCUCAAACUUAGUCUGCAAGCAAAUGAAGAGUAAAAAUGGAAAAACGCUGAAAGAAGUGGAUUCUUUCUUCUUACACUCUUGCAUUUUUUUUUUACUUUAUUACUACAAUGUGAAAAGUUUGAUAGAAGUAAUCCAGCUUGAUUUUAAAAUCUAAACAAAGUUGCAAUUCUUUGUGGUUUCUCAGUAAUACUCAGUUAAUGUGGUUUUCUCACCUCCAAAGGCUUCAGUGAUUGCCAUGCUUUCAAUCCCACCACCCAGAAGUUUACUGGAGAAAGGGAUGGGAUUAUGGUAUAGUUAAACCCACAAAAUCACAAGAAGAAAGUAAAAAAGAGAAAAUUUUACUACUUUAAGUAAAAUUAUUUCUGCUCUAAAGCCCCUCACUCAGUGCAAUUAAGUGCAGGGCACUAAAUGAUCACAGAUUCAUAAAACAUUAAUUCUGCCUUAAACUCCCUUGCUGUGUGCAAGAGAAAGAUCUAUCGAAAUUAUUACUGGAAAGAAGAGAGAAUAUACCUUUGAAAAGAUAACAUUCCGUAAAAAUAUCUUAAGGGAGGUCUUGAAGAUAUACUUUUGACCUGAGACCUGCGGUUGUUCUGACUAGGAUGCAAACACUGUUUAUUUACAAUGGCUGUACAAAGUCUGGUUUCGCCUCAGAAAAGGAGAUGGUUUUGUUACUUGCUAAUGCAGGCUUCUUUGAGCCAGCACUAGCUCCAAAUGCAAAGUAGCCUACGUGUCCUAGCUGAAUAUUUAUUUAUAUUUUUGUGUCUUAUUAAAGACAAUAAAUACAAUUAUUGAAACA
Falco peregrinus (peregrine falcon) is the source of this 1373-nucleotide long non-coding RNA. RefSeq lists it as uncharacterized. Lineage: Eukaryota; Metazoa; Chordata; Aves; Falconiformes; Falconidae. The transcript has 5 exons. The record is from RefSeq and is a predicted model, not a curated record.